GAUGAACGCUAGCUACAGGCUUAACACAUGCAAGUCGCGGGGCAGCAUGGGGGUUGCUUGCAAUCCCCGAUGGCGACCGGCGCACGGGUGAGUAACGCGUAUCCAACCUGCCCUUCACCACGGGAUAACCCGGCGAAAGUCGGACUAAUACCGUAUGUUGUCCAUUGACGGCAUCCGAUUUGGACGAAAGGCUUGGCGGUGAGGGAUGGGGAUGCGUCCGAUUAGCCAGACGGCGGGGUAACGGCCCACCGUGGCUACGAUCGGUAGGGGUUCUGAGAGGAAGGUCCCCCACACUGGAACUGGGACACGGUCCAGACUCCUACGGGAGGCAGCAGUGAGGAAUAUGGGUCAAUGGGCGUAAGCCUGAACCAGCCAAGUAGCGUGCAGGAUGACGGCCCUAUGGGUUGUAAACUGCUUUUAUGCGGGGAUAAAGUGGCCCACGUGUGGGCUUUUGCAGGUACCGCAUGAAUAAGGACCGGCUAAUUCCGUG
RNAcentral lists this ribosomal RNA (490 nucleotides) under uncultured bacterium. Its description in RNAcentral is "partial 16S ribosomal RNA". It matches the Rfam family "Bacterial small subunit ribosomal RNA", at positions 28 to 507 of the family's 1533-position model. The record is from RNAcentral.